This 284-nucleotide ribosomal RNA is filed under the name uncultured soil bacterium. RNAcentral's name for it is "partial 16S ribosomal RNA". It matches the Rfam family "Bacterial small subunit ribosomal RNA", at positions 26 to 312 of the family's 1533-position model. The record is from RNAcentral.
AGGACGAACGCUGGCGGCGUGCUUAACACAUGCAAGUCGAGCGGUAAGGCCCUUUCGGGGGUACACGAGCGGCGAACGGGUGAGUAACACGUGAGCAAUCUGCCCUUCACUUCGGGAUAAGCCUCGGAAACGGGGUCUAAUACCGGAUAUGACUGCGCCAUGCAUGUGGUGUGGUGGAAAGUUCUGGCGGUGAGGGAUGAGCUCGCGGCCUAUCAGCUUGUUGGUGGGGUAAUGGCCUACCAAGGCUUCGACGGGUAGCCGGCCUGAGAGGGUGACCGGCCACA